UCGGGAAUUUUGGGCAAUGGGCGGAAGCCUGACCCAGCAACGCCGCGUGAGGGAUGAAGUAUUUCGGUAUGUAAACCUCGAAAGAAUGGGAAGAAUAAAUGACGGUACCAUUUAUAAGCUCCGGCUAACUACGUGCCAGCAGCCGCGGUAAUACGUAGGGAGCAAGCGUUGUUCGGAUUUACUGGGCGUAAAGGGCGCGUAGGCGGCGCGGUAAGUCACUUGUGAAAUCUCUGAGCUUAACUCAGAACGGCCAAGUGAUACUGCUGUGCUAGAGUGCGGAAGAGGCAACCGGAAUUCUUGGUGUAGCGGUGAAAUGCGUAGAUAUCAAGAGGAACACCUGAGGCGAAGGCGGGUUGCUGGGCCGACACUGACGCUGAUGCGCGAAAGCCAGGGGAGCAAACG
RNAcentral lists this ribosomal RNA (402 nucleotides) under uncultured bacterium. RNAcentral describes it as "bacterial SSU rRNA". It matches the Rfam family "Bacterial small subunit ribosomal RNA", at positions 355 to 774 of the family's 1533-position model. The record is from RNAcentral.